GGAGGGGAGCGAGCGUUGUUCGGAAUUACUGGGCGUAAAGGGCGCGUAGGCGGCCGAGUAAGUCGCGUGUGAAAGGGCCGGGGGCUCAACCCCCGAGCACUGCACGUGAUACUGCUCGGCUAGAGAAAGGUAGAGGCGAGCGGAAUUCCCGGUGUAGCGGUGGAAUGCGUAGAUAUCGGGAAGAACACCUGUGGCGAAGGCGGCUCGCUGGGCCUUUUCUGACGCUGAAGCGCGAAAGCGUGGGGAGCAAACAGGAUUAGAUACCCUGGUAGUCCACGCCGUAAACGAUGGGUACUAGGUGUUGGGAGGCUUGGCCCUCUCAGUGUCGUCGCUAACGCAUUAAGUACCCCGCCUGGGGAGUACGGUCGCAAAGGCUG
Molecule: ribosomal RNA, 377 nt
Filed under: uncultured organism
Description: partial 16S ribosomal RNA
Rfam family: Bacterial small subunit ribosomal RNA
Source: RNAcentral